UAGAAUGUGGUGUAAUUUGGUAGCACGGAGAUUUUUGAAGUCUUAGGAGCAAGCAGGUUCGAUUCCUGUGGUUCUAG
Molecule: transfer RNA, 77 nt
Filed under: Rhinolophus macrotis (Big-eared Horseshoe Bat)
Lineage: Eukaryota; Metazoa; Chordata; Mammalia; Chiroptera; Rhinolophidae
Description: tRNA-Gln
Rfam family: tRNA
About the family: Transfer RNA (tRNA) molecules are approximately 80 nucleotides in length. Their secondary structure includes four short double-helical elements and three loops (D, anti-codon, and T loops).
Source: RNAcentral